This 506-nucleotide ribosomal RNA is filed under the name uncultured bacterium. Its description in RNAcentral is "partial 16S ribosomal RNA". It matches the Rfam family "Bacterial small subunit ribosomal RNA", at positions 29 to 523 of the family's 1533-position model. The record is from RNAcentral.
AGUGAACGCUGGCGGUAGGCCUAACACAUGCAAGUCGAACGGCAGCACAGAGGAGCUUGCUCCUUGGGUGGCGAGUGACGGACGGGUGAGGAAUACAUCGGAAUCUACUCUGUCGUGGGGGAUAACGUAGGGAAACUUACGCUAAUACCGCAUACGACCUACGGGUGAAAGCAGGGGAUCUUCGGACCUUGCGCGAUUGAAUGAGCCGAUGUCGGAGUAGCUAGUGGGCGGGGUAAAGGCCCACCAAGGCGACGAUCCGUAGCUGGUCUGAGAGGAUGAUCAGCCACACUGGAACUGAGACACGGUCCAGACUCCUACGGGAGGCAGCAGUGGGGAAUAUUGGACAAUGGGCGCAAGCCUGAUCCAGCCAUACCGCGUGGGUGAAGAAGGCCUUCGGGUUGUAAAGCCCUUUUGUUGGGAAAGAAAUCCAUCUGGUUAAUACCCGGGUGGGAUGACGGUACCCAAAGAAUAAGCACCGGCUAACUUCGUGCCAGCCGCCGCCGUAA